UCCUGGCUUAGGAUGAACGCUAGCUACAGGCUUAACACAUGCAAGUCGAGGGGCAGCAUUGAGGUUGCUUGCAACUUCAGAUGGCGACCGGCGCACGGGUGAGUAACGCGUAUCUAACUUCCCCAUAGUAGAGGAUAGCCCGGCGAAAGUCGGAUUAAUACUCUAUGUUGUACAACGAGGACAUCUGAAUUGUACCAAAGAUUCAUCGCUAUGGGAUGGGGAUGCGUCUGAUUAGCUUGUCGGCGGGGUAACGGCCCACCGAGGCAACGAUCAGUAGGGUUCUGAGAGGAAGGUCCCCCACAUUGGUACUGAGACACGGACCAAACUCCUACGGGAGGCAGCAGUGAGGAAUAUUGGUCAAUGGGCGUAAGCCUGAACCAGCCAAGUAGCGUGCCAGGAUGACUGCCCUAUGGGUUGUAAACUGCUUUUAUGCGGGAAUAAAGUCAGGUACGUGUACCUGUUUGUAUGUACCGCAUGAAUAAGGACCGGCUAAUUCCGUGCCAGCCGCGGC
Molecule: ribosomal RNA, 511 nt
Filed under: uncultured bacterium
Lineage: Bacteria
Description: bacterial SSU rRNA
Rfam family: Bacterial small subunit ribosomal RNA
Source: RNAcentral